Molecule: transfer RNA, 67 nt
Filed under: Sphaerodactylus townsendi
Lineage: Eukaryota; Metazoa; Chordata; Lepidosauria; Squamata; Sphaerodactylidae
Description: tRNA-Ala
Source: RNAcentral
GACAUGGCUCAGUGAUAAGAGAGUAUCAGCUUUGCAUGCAGAAGAUUCCAGGUUCAAUCCUUGGACA